AGUGAACGCUGGCGGUAGGCCUAACACAUGCCAGUCGAACGGCAGCACAGUAAGAGCUUGCUCUUACGGGUGGCGAGUGGCGGACGGGUGAGGAAUACAUCGGAAUCUACUUUUUCGUGGGGGAUAACGUAGGGAAACUUACGCUAAUACCGCAUACGACCUACGGGUGAAAGCAGGGGAUCUUCGGACCUUGCGCGAUUGAAUGAGCCGAUGUCGGAUUAGCUAGUUGGCGGGGUAAAGGCCCACCAAGGCGACGAUCCGUAGCUGGUCUGAGAGGAUGAUCAGCUACACUGGAACUGAGACACGGUCCAGACUCCUACGGGAGGCAGCAGUGGGGAAUAUUGGACAAUGGGCGCAAGCCUGAUCCAGCCAUACCGCGUGGGUGAAGAAGGCCUUCGGGUUGUAAAGCCCUUUUGUUGGGAAAGAAAAGCAGCAGGUUAAUACCCCGCUGUUCUGACGGUACCCAAAGAAUAAGCACCGGCUAACUUCGUG
RNAcentral lists this ribosomal RNA (492 nucleotides) under uncultured bacterium. Its description in RNAcentral is "partial 16S ribosomal RNA". It matches the Rfam family "Bacterial small subunit ribosomal RNA", at positions 29 to 507 of the family's 1533-position model. The record is from RNAcentral.